GUCCGGAUGUAACACCAAUAAUCAAUACAUUUUAUUUUUCUUUUAAUGGCAUGCAUCCACUUGCUGUAACAACAAAAUCCAAUUUUUUACCAGUCAUAUGUACAAUAUUUAAAAUAAAAUAUUAAAUUUUAAAUUUAUAAAAAUAUCGACCAACUAUAAAAUAAAUUUAGAUCGAUAAAUAGACGAUCAAUUUCUAUCGACUAUAUUUUGAUUUUCUAUUGUAAAAAUCGACAUAUUGACUAUAUUUCGAUUUUCACUGUAAAAAUCAAAAUACCGACUGUAUC
This 284-nucleotide long non-coding RNA is filed under the name Elaeis guineensis (African oil palm). RNAcentral's name for it is "long non-coding RNA (EGUI_LNC043892)". The record is from RNAcentral. Lineage: Eukaryota; Viridiplantae; Streptophyta; Magnoliopsida; Arecales; Arecaceae.